GGGCCUGUAGCUCAGCUUGGUAGAGCGACGGUCUUAUACGCCGUAGGUCGCCGGUUCGAAUCCGGUCGGGCCCA
Molecule: transfer RNA, 74 nt
Filed under: Candidatus Aenigmatarchaeota archaeon
Lineage: Archaea; Nanobdellati; Candidatus Aenigmatarchaeota
Description: tRNA-Ile
Rfam family: tRNA
About the family: Transfer RNA (tRNA) molecules are approximately 80 nucleotides in length. Their secondary structure includes four short double-helical elements and three loops (D, anti-codon, and T loops).
Source: RNAcentral